AAGGAAGAUAAGAAAAGAAGUUGAAUAAGAGUUUGGUUUCUUUUAAACUUGUUAACUCAUACAGAACUCGAGAGCCAAAUAUAUAUGGCCAGCAAUAAAUGCGAAACAAGCAAAGUAGUUCUAACUAAAUAAGGAAACUGAAUUAUACCAAAUAAAGAAGAAAACUAAUUAAGGAUUCUACCAGGAAUAGGUGUUGGUACCAUAACAUAUUAUCUAGGUAUUGUCCAUGAAGCAGAUUUUUUUUUUUGAUAUUGUCGAACGAAGGAAAAUUCAACUGGACGAGGAACUAGGUGUAUUGCAUUGUGGCACAAUGCAUUUGGUGGAGAUGGAUGCGGCGUAGUCACUGUUAUACAGAGAAAGACUCUGCAGCAACACUGGGGUAGUCAAGUUUCUUACUCUUCUAUUGAAAACUAAGGCAAUGUUCUAUUGUACAUUAUACUUACGAAAAUGUGGAGUUCUUGGUUGGUGGAUUCAUGACGCAAUUUUCUUCUUUCUGGUUGUAACAAUAAUAUGCUGAUUACAUUUGGAUAUGGAAACCACCUCUACCCAGCUAAAAUACGUCAGGGAUCUGGACGGAUUUACGAAGUGCCGCCCUGAAGUAUAUAUAUAUAUAUAUAAUAUCAAAAGAUUGGACCUUUAUAUGAAGGUGUCUUCCAGAAAUGAACUCAGAGCAGACCAUCAAGCUAUCCCAAAAUGAUAUAAAUAUCUUGCCGCCUUAGAGAUGACACAAAAUGACAGCAUAUAUGGAGAUUAAAAGCUCGACAAUGGAUACAGCCUUUCGAAAGGCAAUAAAAGUUCUCAUUGUAGUUCCCGUUAUCCCUUAAAGCUCCAUCACCAUGAGUUAUAUCUUGCUAACAAAGAUAUGAGUGUUUCUUCAAAAUUAGGGGUGGAUUUUGGAUCUCAACGGUAAUCUCAUUGUAGCAUACCCAUGGUCAAUUCAUCUUGGCAUUAAGGAAGUACUGGUGGUCAAGCAACAAACCCGUAAAGAAAGUAUCCUUCGUUGUUUAAAAUUAGCACAUCAAAGAGGUAGUAGUUCUUCGUGAUACACGAGUGGACAUUGAAUGGCUAUAAUGUUUCUCAUGACAUUUGAUUCCAGUAGAGAGCAUUUAUUUGCUAAAUUGAUUUACUUUAAAUCCUAAUGACGUGGACUAGCUAGAAUGGAAAAUUUAGUCCAGGCUGUAUAAAGAAAAAUGAUGCUGGAUCAAGUAAGACAUGGCAGUGCUGGCGUUUUAGAAUUUUGGUUUGGAUUAAAUGGUUGCAUCCUAAAGGCUCCUUAUAGCAUAAGCAUGGUCGGUUUAUCAUGAAUGCUUUCUUCAAGUGUGACGCUUCACCGUAGGGGAGACCAGGUACUAUCUAAUGUAUGAUUGUUGGGUUCAAGGGAAGUGGAAGAUACAAGUCGCACGCUGAUGCAUUAUGAACUUGCUUCAACUGUUUGGAAAUUCUCCAUUUUGUUUUUGGGAUUAAGCUGGGUAUUGUUUAAGGACGUUUAAACUCAAUUUGAAGGUUUGGAGCUACAUUAGGUUGCAAGGAAGCUAUAGAACUAUGUUGGCCCGAAUGUUCCAUAUGCAAUAAUUUGGGAGCUAUGAAAGAAUGCAAUGCUAGAUACCAUUGGCAGGGGAAACAAGAACACAAAUGAUCUUUUAUUGCCAGUAAAACAGUCGCUUAUUCUGUGAUGCUCCGAUGAAAACUCAGUCAGGAUGCUUCAUUUCACAAUUUAUGUUUAACUGGGAGGAGAUUGUGUAUUGAUAUAAAAGAUCAUUUUUUCCUUCGUUUUUAUUGACAGAAAUUGUUGAUCGUCCUUUGUAAAUAUUUUUUAUCCUUUAUUAAGUAACUUUUUCUUUCUCAAAACAAAAGUAAAAAAUUAUUCAAUUCAUUUGAAUUUGGGUU
Papaver somniferum (opium poppy) is the source of this 1887-nucleotide long non-coding RNA. RefSeq lists it as uncharacterized. The transcript is spliced from 7 exons. Lineage: Eukaryota; Viridiplantae; Streptophyta; Magnoliopsida; Ranunculales; Papaveraceae. The record is from RefSeq and is a predicted model, not a curated record.